CAUUCCUAGGCUGCCCGCCUCACUGGAAGAACUUCACAGACAAAUGCUACUAUUUUUCAGUUGAGAAAGAAAUUUUUGAGGAUGCAAAGCUUUUCUGUGAAGACAAGUCUUCACAUCUUGUUUUCAUAAACACUAGAGAGGAACAGCAAUGGAUAAAAAAACAGAUGGUAGGGAGAGAGAGCCACUGGAUCGGCCUCACAGACUCAGAACGUGAAAAUGAAUGGAAGUGGCUGGAUGGGACAUCUCCAGACUACAAAAAUUGGAAAGCUGGACAGCCGGAUAACUGGGGUCAUGGCCAUGGGCCAGGAGAAGACUGUGCUGGGUUGAUUUAUGCUGGGCAGUGGAACGAUUUCCAAUGUGAAGACGUCAACAACUUCAUUUGCGAAAAAGACAGGGAGACAGGUGAGCAGUAGAUGGGAUUUAAGAGGGAG
Molecule: long non-coding RNA, 431 nt
Filed under: Pan troglodytes (chimpanzee)
Lineage: Eukaryota; Metazoa; Chordata; Mammalia; Primates; Hominidae
Description: long non-coding RNA NONPTRT007487
Source: RNAcentral